Molecule: ribosomal RNA, 470 nt
Filed under: uncultured bacterium
Lineage: Bacteria
Description: bacterial SSU rRNA
Rfam family: Bacterial small subunit ribosomal RNA
Source: RNAcentral
AACGAACGCUGGCGGCGCGUCUUAAGCAUGCAAGUCGGACGGUAAGGAAGGAGCUUGCUUCUUCCCUAGAGUGGCGGACUGGUGAGGAACGCGUGGGUGACGCACCCUUCGGACGGGGAUAGCCGGUAGAAAUACCGGGUAAUACCGGAUAAGAGCGCCUCCUUGGAGGGAGGCGGAGAAAGCGGCUUCGGCCGCGCCGGAGGAACGGCCCGCGUGCUAUUAGCUAGUUGGCGGGGUAACAGCCCACCAAGGCGACGAUCGGUAGCCGACCUGAGAGGGUGAUCGGCCACAUUGGAACUGAGAAACGGUCCAGACUCCUACGGGAGGCAGCAGUGGGGAAUAUUGGGCAAUGGGCGAAAGCCUGACCCAGCAACGCCGCGUGAGGGAAGAAGGGUUUCGGCUCGUAAACCUCUGUCCUAUGGGACGAAUAAAUGACGGUACCAUAGGAGGAAGCCCCGGCUAACUACGUG